GAUGAACGCUAGCUACAGGCUUAACACAUGCAAGUCGAGGGGAAACGACAUCGAAAGCUUGCUUUUGGUGGGCGUCGACCGGCGCACGGGUGAGUAACGCGUAUCCAACUUGCCCACCACUUGGGGAUAACCUUGCGAAAGUAAGACUAAUACCCAAUGAUAUCCCACGAAGGCAUCCGAAUGGGAUUAAAGAUUUAUCGGUGAUGGAUGGGGAUGCGUCUGAUUAGCUUGUUGGCGGGGUAACGGCCCACCAAGGCAACGAUCAGUAGGGGUUCUGAGAGGAAGGUCCCCCACAUUGGAACUGAGAUACGGUCCAAACUCCUACGGGAGGCAGCAGUGAGGAAUAUUGGUCAAUGGGCGUAGCCUGAACCAGCCAAGUCGCGUGAGGGAUGACGGCCCUACGGGUUGUAAACCUCUUUUACAAGGGAAUAAAGUGGGUCUCGUGAGACUUUUUGCAUGUACCUUAUGAAUAAGGACCGGCUAAUUCCGUG
RNAcentral lists this ribosomal RNA (491 nucleotides) under uncultured bacterium. Its description in RNAcentral is "bacterial SSU rRNA". It matches the Rfam family "Bacterial small subunit ribosomal RNA", at positions 28 to 507 of the family's 1533-position model. The record is from RNAcentral.